AACGAACGCUGGCGGCAGGCCUAACACAUGCAAGUCGAGCGAGGACUUCGGUCCUAGCGGCGGACGGGUGAGUAACGCGUGGGAACGUGCCCUUUGCUUCGGAAUAGCCCUGGGAAACUGGGAGUAAUACCGGAUGAGCCCUUUGGGGGAAAGAUUUAUCGGCGAAGGAUCGGCCCGCGUUGGAUUAGGUAGUUGGUGGGGUAAUGGCCUACCAAGCCGACGAUCCAUAGCUGGUUUGAGAGGAUGCUCAGCCACACUGGGACUGAGACCCGGCCCAGACUCCUACGGGAGGCAGCAGUAGGGAGUCUUAGACAAUGGGGGAAACCCUGAUAUAGCCAUGCCGCGUGAGCGAUGAAGGCCUUAGGGUUGUAAAGCUCUUUCAGCUGGGAAGAUAAUGACGGUACCAGCAGAAGAAGCCCCGGCUAACUCCGUG
RNAcentral lists this ribosomal RNA (433 nucleotides) under uncultured bacterium. Its description in RNAcentral is "partial 16S ribosomal RNA". It matches the Rfam family "Bacterial small subunit ribosomal RNA", at positions 29 to 507 of the family's 1533-position model. The record is from RNAcentral.